GGAACCGCUGUUGAGUGGGUACAGAUGCCUGGAAUGAAGCCUGGUCCGGAUUCCAUUGGAAUCAUCGCUAUUUCUCAUGGUUGCACUGGUGUGGCAGCACGUGCCUGUGGCCUAGUGGGUCUUGAGCCUACAAGGGUUGCAGAGAUCGUCAAGGAUCGUCCUUCGUGG
This is a non-coding RNA of Camelina sativa (false flax), 168 nucleotides long. NCBI's taxonomy places the organism in Eukaryota, Viridiplantae, Streptophyta, Magnoliopsida, Brassicales, Brassicaceae. The record is from RefSeq and is a predicted model, not a curated record.